Molecule: ribosomal RNA, 253 nt
Filed under: uncultured bacterium
Lineage: Bacteria
Description: partial 16S ribosomal RNA
Rfam family: Bacterial small subunit ribosomal RNA
Source: RNAcentral
UACGUAGGGCGCAAGCGUUGUCCGGAAUUAUUGGGCGUAAAGAGCUCGUAGGCGGCCUGUCGCGUCCGCUGUGAAAUCCCGGGGCUCAACCCCGGGCCUGCAGUCGAUACGGGCAAGCUAGAGUUCGGCAGGGGAGACUGGAAUUCCUGGUGUAGCGGUGAAAUGCGCAGAUAUCAGGAGGAACACCGGUGGCGAAGGCGGGUCUCUGGACAGUUCCUGACACUGAGACACGAAGGCCAGGGGAGCAAACGGG